GACGAACGCUGGCGGCGUGCUUAACACAUGCAAGUCGAACGAAGAGCGAUGGAAGCUUGCUUCUAUCAAUCUUAGUGGCGAACGGGUGAGUAACGCGUAAUCAACCUGCCCUUCAGAGGGGGACAACAGUUGGAAACGACUGCUAAUACCGCAUACGAUCUAAUCUCGGCAUCGAGGAUAGAUGAAAGGUGGCCUCUACAUGUAAGCUAUCACUGAAGGAGGGGAUUGCGUCUGAUUAGCUAGUUGGAGGGGUAACGGCCCACCAAGGCGAUGAUCAGUAGCCGGGCUGAGAGGAGGAACGGCCACAUUGGGACUGAGACACGGCCCAGACUCCUACGGGAGGCAGCAGUGGGGAAUCUUCCGCAAUGGACGAAAGUCUGACGGAGCAACGCCGCGUGAGUGAUGACGGCCUUCGGGUUGUAAAGCUCUGUUAAUCGGGACGAAAGGCCUUCUUGCGAAUAGUGAGAAGGAUUGACGGUACCGGAAUAGAAAGCCACGGCUAACUACGUG
RNAcentral lists this ribosomal RNA (510 nucleotides) under uncultured bacterium. Its description in RNAcentral is "partial 16S ribosomal RNA". It matches the Rfam family "Bacterial small subunit ribosomal RNA", at positions 28 to 507 of the family's 1533-position model. The record is from RNAcentral.